Molecule: ribosomal RNA, 305 nt
Filed under: uncultured bacterium
Lineage: Bacteria
Description: bacterial SSU rRNA
Rfam family: Bacterial small subunit ribosomal RNA
Source: RNAcentral
ACCUACGGGGGGCAGCAGUGGGGAAUAUUGCACAAUGGGGGGAACCCUGGUGCAGCAACGCCGCGUGAAGGAAGACGGUUUUCGGAUUGUAAACUUCUAUCAAUAGGGAAGAAAGAAAUGACGGUACCUAAAUAAGAAGCCCCGGCUAACUACGUGCCAGCAGCCGCGGUAAUACGUAGGGGGCAAGCGUUAUCCGGAAUUACUGGGUGUAAAGGGAGCGUAGGCGGGACUGCAAGUUGGGUGUCAAAUCUACCGGCUCAACCGGUAGCCGCACUCAAAACUGCAGUUCUUGAGUGAAGUAGAGG